GAUGAACGCUGGCGGCGUGCCUAAUACAUGCAAGUCGAGCGAACAGAUGAGGAGCUUGCUCCUCUGACGUUAGCGGCGGACGGGUGAGUAACACGUGGAUAACCUACCUAUAAGACUGGGAUAACUUCGGGAAACCGGAGCUAAUACCGGAUAAUAUAUUGAACCGCAUGGUUCAAUAGUGAAAGACGGUUUUGCUGUCACUUAUAGAUGGAUCCGCGCCGCAUUAGCUAGUUGGUAAGGUAACGGCUUACCAAGGCAACGAUGCGUAGCCGACCUGAGAGGGUGAUCGGCCACACUGGCACUGAGACACGGUCCAGACUCCUACGGGAGGCAGCAGUAGGGAAUCUUACGCAAUGGGCGAAAGCCUGACGGAGCAACGCCGCGUGAGUGAUGAAGGUCUUCGGAUCGUAAAACUCUGUUAUUAGGGAAGAACAAAUGUGUAAGUAACUAUGCACGUCUUGACGGUACCUAAUCAGAAAGCCACGGCUAACUACGUG
This 497-nucleotide ribosomal RNA is filed under the name uncultured bacterium. RNAcentral describes it as "partial 16S ribosomal RNA". It matches the Rfam family "Bacterial small subunit ribosomal RNA", at positions 28 to 507 of the family's 1533-position model. The record is from RNAcentral.